Molecule: ribosomal RNA, 621 nt
Filed under: Triticum aestivum (bread wheat)
Lineage: Eukaryota; Viridiplantae; Streptophyta; Magnoliopsida; Poales; Poaceae
Description: partial small subunit ribosomal RNA
Source: RNAcentral
AUGGCCGCGCACGGGCGCGUGAGCACCAGCACCGGCCGCGCACUGGCGCGCGAGCACCAGCCCCGACUGCCAACGGGCGCGCGAGCAUCAGCACCGGCCGCGCACGCCGUCUCCUCCAGAGCAUGGGCGCGAGCAGCGGCAUCGUCCGCGCGCCAUCCCAAGAACGCCAUCGGACAGCUCGCCGGCGCGGAGCUGGGAGGCUCGUUGGCCGGCAGUCGGGCUGGCCGGAUCCGGCAGGGCCGUACUUGUUCGGAGGCGCCUACCAAAUCGAGGUCAUGCUGGGAUCGACAGCCGACGCGAUGGCCAUGGCCCUGCUCUGCCUCCGGUGCGUGCCGGGAUUCCCGAGGGCGUCGAGAGCACGGCCGAGCUCUCCCCGAGGGAGAGGUUGCUCUCUCCAUCGUCUACAGCGCGGGGGCCGCGAGCUGGACGUGUGGCGAGCACAAGCACCGGCGGCGAGCAGCAGUAGUACGCAGCGUUGGGGCAGCGGCCAGCGGUAUGCACCGGCGGCGAGCAACAGCAGUACGAAGCGUUGGGGCAGCGGCCGGCGGGAUGCACCGGCUGCCAAUCUGGUGCGGCUGCUAUGUGGUUGCCGAAAUGCCAAGGAGGCAGAGGAGAGGUUGA